RNAcentral lists this ribosomal RNA (468 nucleotides) under uncultured bacterium. RNAcentral's name for it is "partial 16S ribosomal RNA". It matches the Rfam family "Bacterial small subunit ribosomal RNA", at positions 28 to 507 of the family's 1533-position model. The record is from RNAcentral.
GACGAACGCUGGCGGCGUGCUUAACACAUGCAAGUCGAACGGAAAGGCCCUGCUUUUGUGGGGUGCUCGAGUGGCGAACGGGUGAGUAACACGUGAGUAACCUGCCCUUGACUUUGGGAUAACUUCAGGAAACUGGGGCUAAUACCGGAUUGGAGCUCCUGCUGCAUGGUGGGGGUUAGAAAGUUUCGGCGGUUGGGGAUGGACUCGCGGCUUAUCAGCUUGUUGGUGGGGUAGUGGCUUACCAAGGCUUUGACGGGUAGCCGGCCUGAGAGGGUGACCGGCCACAUUGGGACUGAGAUACGGCCCAGACUCCUACGGGAGGCAGCAGUAAGGAAUAUUGCACAAUGGGCGGAAGCCUGAUGCAGCAACGCCGCGUGCGGGAUGACGGCCUUCGGGUUGUAAACCGCUUUCGCCUGUGACGAAGCGUGAGUGACGGUAAUGGGUAAAGAAGCACCGGCUAACUACGUG